AGAGUUUGAUCCUGGCUCAGGAUGAACGCUGGCGGCGUGCUUAACACAUGCAAGUCGAACGAAGCAUGAAAGUGGAAGUUUUCGGAUGGAAGCUUUUAUGACUUAGUGGCGGACGGGUGAGUAACGCGUGGGUAACCUGCCUCAUACAGGGGGAUAACAGUUGGAAACGACUGCUAAGACCGCAUAAUACUAUGACUCCGCAUGGAGAGAUAGUCAAAGAUUUAUCGGUAUGAGAUGGACCCGCGUCUGAUUAGCUAGUUGGUGAGGUAAUGGCUCACCAAGGCGACGAUCAGUAGCCGGCUUGAGAGAGUGACCGGCCACAUUGGGACUGAGACACGGCCCAAACUCCUACGGGAGGCAGCAGUGGGGAAUAUUGCACAAUGGGGGAAACCCUGAUGCAGCGACGCCGCGUGAGUGAAGAAGUAUUUCGGUAUGUAAAGCUCUAUCAGCAGGGAAGAUAAUGACAGUACCUGACUAAGAAGCCCCGGCUAACUACGUGCCAGCAGCCGCGGUAAUACGUAGGGGGCAAGCGUUAUCCGGAUUUACUGGGUGUAAAGGGAGCGUAGGUGGCUAGGUAAGUCAGAUGUGAAAGCCCGGGGCUCAACCCCGGGAUUGCAUUUGAAACUAUCUGGCUAGAGUGCAGGAGAGGUAAGUGGAAUUCCUAGUGUAGCGGUGAAAUGCGUAGAUAUUAGGAGGAACACCAGUGGCGAAGGCGGCUUACUGGACUGUAACUGACACUGAGGCUCGAAAGCGUGGGGAGCAAACAGGAUUAGAUACCCUGGUAGUCC
Molecule: ribosomal RNA, 788 nt
Filed under: uncultured bacterium
Lineage: Bacteria
Description: bacterial SSU rRNA
Rfam family: Bacterial small subunit ribosomal RNA
Source: RNAcentral